UAUACUAUGGUGUGUGACGCACAUGGAAUUUUGAUUUCUAAGGGCUUAGUUUGACUCUGAGUAGUAUAG
RNAcentral lists this transfer RNA (69 nucleotides) under Aradus compar. RNAcentral describes it as "tRNA-Gln". The record is from RNAcentral. Lineage: Eukaryota; Metazoa; Arthropoda; Insecta; Hemiptera; Aradidae.